RNAcentral lists this ribosomal RNA (255 nucleotides) under uncultured bacterium. RNAcentral describes it as "partial 16S ribosomal RNA". It matches the Rfam family "Bacterial small subunit ribosomal RNA", at positions 524 to 776 of the family's 1533-position model. The record is from RNAcentral.
UACGGGGGGAGCAAGCGUUGUUCGGAUUUACUGGGCGUAAAGGGCGCGUAGGCGGCCACCGCAAGUCAGUUGUGAAAUCUCUGGGCUUAACCCAGAACGGUCAGCUGAUACUGCGGGGCUAGAGUGCAGAAGGGGCAACUGGAAUUCUCGGUGUAGCGGUGAAAUGCGUAGAUAUCGAGAGGAACACCUGCGGCGAAGGCGGGUUGCUGGGCUGACACUGACGCUGACAGCGCGAAAGCCAGGGGAGCAAACGGG